Molecule: RNA transcript, 997 nt
Organism: Solanum pennellii
Lineage: Eukaryota; Viridiplantae; Streptophyta; Magnoliopsida; Solanales; Solanaceae
Exons: 3
Source: RefSeq, a predicted model, not a curated record
CUAUUUGAUUGCAGUCUCAGAAACUAACCAAUGCUUAGUGUAAAUACUUUUGCAUUCAUGCACUCCUGAGAGCACCUGAUUACAUGUUACAUUCAGUACUCAAAAAGACUCAAGUAUGAGCAUAUUUACUAUUUAGUGAAAAAGUUCCGACACUCAAAUGAAGCAUCAAAUAAUUAUGAACACUUCGAAGUCAUUAAACACCAUGUGAAAAAAUUUGAAUAAUCAAAGAAAGAAGAUGCUUCAAGGACACAUACACCAGAAAAAAGUUCAAUGAAAAGAUGGAGAUGCAUGCACGCACAAAUUUCUAUGACAGCAUGACUUACUUGAUGUAAAAGACAAACUACAAGUAUCUGUUAGACAAAAGGAAACUUUUCUCAGAUGUUCAUUCUCUAACUUUUCUUUGUUUGAUAAGGUUUUUCCCCUGAGAAUGCACCUUCCCCAAACAAGUUAACAGCAUCUUUGACAGACUGAAAUGGUGCACUUGUAUCUAUUUCCCCAACUUGUACUUUUGGAGAUCCAGUAGGUUUCUUACGGUCUUUUGAAACCAUAUUUUGAUCUUUUACACAGAAUCACCUAUCAACAAAAAGCAAAGAAAAGUUUACUGGGAGUGGCCAAAAACACAGACGGAAUUUCAACAUUGUGGAUAAGAGUAGCACAGAAGCUUGAGAUACCAGUUUACAAGUGGUCAUCAUGCAAUACAAGCUAGGAACUCUAAACAUGUAAAAUAAUGUUACAAUUUGAGGUGAAAGUUGUGAGAUUCCCUUAUGCAGUUACGAGAGUAGAUAAGAAUUCAAUUACUGAAGCAUCGGAGCUUGAUGUGUUAGUUUUAUACUUAUUUGUAGUAAGAAUUAUAAUAAGAGUUUUUUGUCUCUCUUCAUAUAGUUGAAUUCUUGUUUUAUUAGCAAGUUGCUCUAAAUUCAUAUUUGUAUUUUGUAUGCUCAAAUGUUCAGUUUCACUAUAAAGACAAACAAAAUGAAAUGCCUAAUUAUCUUGCUCA